Molecule: ribosomal RNA, 461 nt
Filed under: Ectrichodia lucida
Lineage: Eukaryota; Metazoa; Arthropoda; Insecta; Hemiptera; Reduviidae
Description: eukaryotic LSU rRNA
Rfam family: Eukaryotic large subunit ribosomal RNA
Source: RNAcentral
CUUGAAACACGGACCAAGGAGUUUAUUGUGUACGCAAGUCAUUGGGUGAUACAAAACCCAAAGGCGUAAUGAAAGUAAAGAGUGAGUAGAGAAAGAUUUUAAAAGGAUAAGAAUUUUUAUUUUUAACUUUGAUUUCUUUAUCUCUCUCUCAAGGGAAGAUGGAAAUCUUAUUUUAGAUUAAUAUUUAGUAUAUUUUUUUAUAUUAAGUAAAUUUAAAAUGUAGAUUUCUCGCAUUCCCAGGGCGCUUGUUUCUCGCUUUGCGAGUCUAUGCGCACCUAGAGCGUACACGAUGAUACCCGAAAGAUGGUGAACUAUGCCUGGCCAGGACGAAGCCAGGGGAAACCCUGGUGGAGGUCCGCAGCGAUUCUGACGUGCAAAUCGAUCGUCAGAGCUGGGUAUAGGGGCGAAAGACCAAUCGAACCAUCUAGUAGCUGGUUCCCUCUGAAGUUUCCCUCAGGAUA